Molecule: ribosomal RNA, 494 nt
Filed under: uncultured bacterium
Lineage: Bacteria
Description: bacterial SSU rRNA
Rfam family: Bacterial small subunit ribosomal RNA
Source: RNAcentral
GAUGAACGCUGGCGGCGUGCCUAACACAUGCAAGUCGAACGAGAAGCUAACUUCUGAUUCCUUCGGGGAGAUGAAGUUGGUAGAAAGUGGCGAACGGGUGAGUAACGCGUGGGUAAUCUACCCUGUUAGUGGGGGAUAACCCUCCGAAAGGAGGGCUAAUACCGCAUAAGGUCUUCACUUCUUAAGAAGUAAAGAUUAAAGAUGGCCUCUAUACUAUGCUAUCGCUUCAGGAUGAGCCCGCGUCCUAUUAGUUAGUUGGUGGGGUAAUGGCCUACCAAGACCACAAUGGGUAGCCGGUCUGAGAGGAUGUACGGCCACACUGGGACUGAGAUACGGCCCAGACUCCUACGGGAGGCAGCAGUGGGGAAUAUUGCGCAAUGGGGGAAACCCUGAUGGAGCGACGCCGCGUGGGUGAUGAAGGUCUUCGGAUUGUAAAACCCUUUCAGCAAGGACGAAUGUAUCGGGUGCUAAUACCACCAGGUAAGAGACGGUAC